CUCUCGGUAGCCAAGUUGGUGUUGGU
This 26-nucleotide transfer RNA is filed under the name Saccharomyces cerevisiae (brewer's yeast). RNAcentral's name for it is "partial tRNA-Tyr". Lineage: Eukaryota; Fungi; Ascomycota; Saccharomycetes; Saccharomycetales; Saccharomycetaceae. The record is from RNAcentral.